RNAcentral lists this non-coding RNA (1874 nucleotides) under Pan troglodytes (chimpanzee). Lineage: Eukaryota; Metazoa; Chordata; Mammalia; Primates; Hominidae. The record is from RNAcentral.
ACGAAAGGGGGUGCGCGGACCGGGGGGGGUCUGGCGCGCCCCGCCGCCGUUCCGAGUUGGGGGGUUUCUGUGUUGUGGGUCCGGGAAGAAGCGAGCGUGGAAAGGUGCCGGGUUCUCGAACGCUGUUUCUGUCCACUGCCACCCUCCUCCCCGUUCUGAGAGUGGGAUUAAGUCGUGUCUGUGGGUCUGGCCAUCUCCGGAGUCUGCAGCUUGGGGCCGAUUCCUCGGUCUCUACCUCCUGUUGCAGGUCCUUAAUCAUUCAACAGAGACAUAAUAACUUUAUUGGAUGGAGCAAUACUUCUUGCUAAUCAGCAUAUACACACCCAGUGACCUUGCAUGAAGAAGCAGCCUGUCUGCAGAAGAUUGCAUCUCAUCUAUACAAAGCAGGAGUGAUGUUGUCAAUGUGUGUGUGUGCAUGCAUUUAUGUAUCUGUAUGCUUGUGCAGAGAGGGGAAGAUGGGGGAGGGGAUGUGGCUUUGUUACUUAGCUUGCUUGAUUUUUAUCCACAGUUAUUAAGAGGUAAAAUAUUGUAGCUCAACCCCUAGAAGUGGUCGUUUGCUUUACAGAGAGGAAAAUCUCUGCCCCCUUACCAUGGCUUGCAUUUCCAGCCCCAAAAGGCAAAAACAGGGAGCACGUAACUCAGUGGAAUCAAUAGCACGACCAGAAAGUCAAUUCAGUCAUAUGAUGGUGGAUCAGUAUCAUCAUUGUAAAGGAGAGGAGAUCACUGUACUGUCAGAUGCAUCACUCUGACUUUCCCCCAUCACUGUGGAAAAAGGAGGGAAAAAAGCCUUCAAUCAUAAUAGGAAAGGUAAACAGUUUUUCAAACUUACAAACAUAUGUACAUGUCUUCCUCUGUAUCAUUUCAUGUAUGUUGUUUUUAUGUAUGUACCUGUACAAAAAGAUGUAAAUAUCACUUAACCUUGAGUAAUAUAAUACAUGUGAAUUCUAAUUUUAGUUCCACUAAGUAUUAAUAAUUAAUGGUAACUUCGUUGAGUGUGAGAAUUCCACAAGGUUGCGUUAGAAUUCUGAAUGACAUUUUGUUUUUGCUUUAUUGGGCUUUGAUAUGUCAGACAAGAGAAUUCAACUUUUCUCCUGUGUGAAUGAAUUCAAUAGUCUGUUGAGAGAGAUGCCAGUUUUUAGGUUGCAUCCACCAUUUUUAUUUUUAGCUCCAUCUGUUGUCUUUUAUCAAGUUGCUGUUAAAACUCUGAUAAAAUACUUGGUUUGUAGCAUUGGUAUUGUCCCCACCAGCUUCCCUAAAAUGAGCGCUCCGAUUCUAAUCCCCAAAGAUGUUUGAAUUUGUCUCCAGUUGACAUCCAAAAGUCUCAUCUUCCUGGAUUUCCUUCCUCCUCUUGCCCGCUCUGCCCUUUCCCACUAUCCCAGUUCCUAGCAUCUCCCUGACCCUUGGGUUAGAGCCCAGGGAGAUGGACCACUGAAUCCAACCUGGGAAAAUGACAGGAAGUACGUGCAUUCUUCAAAGUGAGGCAUUUGCUGUUAUUGAGCAUCUAUUUUAACAUAACUCAGAUGCAGUGGUAUUAAUUUGUAUAUGAAUAUUUCAUUUAAUAAUAAUGAUUGAGACUGUCCUCUAUAACAGAGGUAAGCAUAUACAGUACAGCCUGUUCUUUAACUCCUUUUUCCUCACCUGACUCAAUUUUCUGUUGAUUAAAUGUUAGACUGAGAAUAAAAGUAUACUUGUUAGAUUUGGCUACUUAUUGAAAGCUGCAGUUUUGGCUAGGCAUAGUGUGGCUUAUACCUGUAAUCCCAGCACAAUGGAAGGCCGAGGUGGGAGGAUGGCUUGAGACCAGGAGUUUGGGACCAGCCUGGGCAACAUAGCAAGACCCCGUCUCUACAAAAAAUAAAAAAUAAAAAAAUGAAAAA